Molecule: ribosomal RNA, 301 nt
Filed under: uncultured bacterium
Lineage: Bacteria
Description: partial 16S ribosomal RNA
Rfam family: Bacterial small subunit ribosomal RNA
Source: RNAcentral
CAGUCGCCGCGGUAACACGUAGGGUGCAAGCGUUAAUCGGAAUUACUGGGCGUAAAGCGUGCGCAGGCGGUUAUAUAAGACAGAUGUGAAAUCCCCGGGCUCAACCUGGGAACUGCAUUUGUGACUGUAUAGCUAGAGUACGGCAGAGGGGGAUGGAAUUCCGCGUGUAGCAGUGAAAUGCGUAGAUAUGCGGAGGAACACCGAUGGCGAAGGCAAUCCCCUGGGCCUGUACUGACGCUCAUGCACGAAAGCGUGGGGAGCAAACAGGAUUAGAUACCCCAGUAGUCCCUGUCUCUUAUAC